GUUAUAAAUAAUAAAGGAGAAAUAAAUGCCUUCAGUUCCACAAUGUGAUUUGCUGGGGGUUUGCUCAACAUGAUCUGUAGAUCUGUGGUGAUGAUUGGCUCUAAAUUGUUGUAUAUUGGCCAAGAAGAGACCAUUAAAUUGUCAAAAAAAGAGCCAUGUGCACAUUUUGAUACAAACCCUUGCCCCUAUUGGCGUUUGCAUAUUAAGUCAAACUUCCCUUAUGACUACCAAAUUGGUAAAUUUUCCUUUGGACAAAUGGUUUACUAUCCCACAAUAAAAAGCUAAACACUAGUAUGACAGAAAUCAAAAUACGACUGGAGGUGUCCUCAAAGUAAAGUACAGCUCUACUCCUUCUCAGGUACCUGAUACUAACACUUUGUUUAUUGCCUGUAAAAUCCUGGAUUGCAUGUAAUAGCAUGUGUCCUUUGAUGUGCAGCAAAUGUCGUCUUUAGUGCUGUAGUGGUGUUGCUACCUUGCCUGCAGCUGCUGAGAACAAUAGGUGCAUUUGUUGACAACAGCGCCUGAUGCAGUGCUACAUGUAGUUUGGUGAAAGCUGGGAUUUGAUUGAGGUUUUGAACAGAUAAAGUUCAACGACAAUUCAAGACUUUAAUCCUAAAUUCUGGCAUCCCAGAACUAAUUCUAAGCUUUAUAUCUGUACCUUAACCUUAUCACACAUAGUAACUUUAUGUCGUAUCUGUCAUCAGUCCGAAAAGAUUGACACUGAAACUGAAAGCACUGGCAAUGGCUUAAAACUGCCUGGAAACAAUGGAAGUCACAGUCUGUCACAUUGUAUGUGAAUACUGCUGUAAGUAUUGGCGGGUCUGUAAAUACCUCUGUUUGUGUUUCAUGAACUCUAGCCUCACGGUGUGUGUCUCCAGGAAUCUAAAUUUUGCUCUCCUUUGCCUCACACUGGGUUUGCGAGAUUGUGUAUAGUGAAGUUUAUCUGUACAUUAUUUCUUUGUGUUUGUCUUUUAUCUUAUCUCUUUCCCUAUGGGGAGUUUAAACCAAGUAAAUGUGCAGUUUAAAUAAAAACUGUCACUUUUCAUUUCAUCCUGCUAUUUUAAACAGAGUACUGCUGUGUGUACACACACACACACACACACACACACACACACACACACACACACACUUGCUUCACAUUUCACUUUUAUUCUUGUAAUCUCCCAGUUCGUUUUCAUACUGCAAGGUUUUUCCUGUUUAUUUUUGUUGAUUCUGGCAAAAUGUUUUCUAGGCUGUAGAAUAUCUGUUAAGUGCACUUAUUUCCCUUUAGGUUUAGAUAUUCUGUAACUGUCUUUGAGCUCAGAUUGGGAGUGCAGUCAUGUAUGUUAAUCGUCUGGUUUGACUUGCAGUUGUAAAUGCUUUGGGUUACUAAUAUGGUUUAAUAUGGUUUGCCAUGGAUGUUUAUGUGCUAAAUAAAAUACAACACAAUAAGGG
Long non-coding RNA from Sander lucioperca (pikeperch), 1434 nucleotides. RefSeq lists it as uncharacterized. The record is from RefSeq and is a predicted model, not a curated record. Lineage: Eukaryota; Metazoa; Chordata; Actinopteri; Perciformes; Percidae. The transcript has 2 exons.